UACGGAGGGUGCAAGCGUUAUCCGGAUUUAUUGGGUUUAAAGGGUCCGUAGGCGGACUAAUAAGUCAGUGGUGAAAGCCCAUCGCUUAACGAUGGAACUGCCAUUGAUACUGUUAGUCUUGAGUGAUGUUGAAGUGGCUGGAAUGUGUAGUGUAGCGGUGAAAUGCUUAGAUAUUACGCAGAACACCAAUUGCGAAGGCAGGUCACUAGGUAUCAACUGACGCUGAUGGACGAAAGCGUGGGGAGCGAACAGGAUUAGAUACCCUGGUAGUCCACGCCGUAAACGAUGGAUACUUGCUGUUGGGCUUUCGGGUUCAGUGGCUAAGCGAAAGUUAUAAGUAUCCCACCUGGGGAGUACGUUCGCAAGAAUGAA
RNAcentral lists this ribosomal RNA (372 nucleotides) under uncultured bacterium. RNAcentral describes it as "bacterial SSU rRNA". It matches the Rfam family "Bacterial small subunit ribosomal RNA", at positions 524 to 898 of the family's 1533-position model. The record is from RNAcentral.